CAUCAGAGCACAGGGAGGAACCCAGUAGUGACGCACAUCGUCGCAAAACGAGCGAAGAGGUGAGGGGACAGGCGCACCUGUGCACGAAGCGGAGGAAGCGUGUUGGUGCGGCUCUCUGGGUGGGCGUGGCUUGUGAGCGGUGCAAAGCAGACGCUCCAGCCGCACGCCUCUUCCGCACGCGCCUGCGCAGACGCUGCUGCCACUCCUCCGUUGCGCACUACCGCAGAGAUGAGCCCACACGGCGUCCGCGGCGCCGAUGCGCGCUUUCGGCCUUUCCUGUCCAGCAGCCUCGAUGAGUACCUAAAACGCUAUUGGGCGAUCGUCUUCACGGUGGGCUCUCAAGCCAUCGACACGGGUCACAUGCGCCACUACGUAUCCUGGUAUGCCACCCGUCUCAAGGUCGUGGAGCUCGACCACCACGUGCACGCCAUUUCGCUGCGCGAGCAGCUCAUCAUCAGAGCCGGCACACCGGCCCUCCCGCUUCUCUUCGUGAACCAGAAGCUUGUAGGCACCAUCGCCGACGUGCGCAGUUACGAGAAGCGCCGUCUGCUCAAGGACAUUGUGCAGUUUGGUUUCAAGUGGAAAACCGGUGCCGCAGUGGACUGUGCUCCGCAGCCACUGAACACCCUUCCCUCCCCCUACAGCGACACAGAGCUCUUUCGUGGGCGCUACCGUGGCGCUCCCGUAGCGCGGCCAGUCGUGCAGUUGCCUCAGCUGCAUCCCUAUCGACGUCAGGAGGACUGAAAGGAAGGGGCGGGCGAGACAGCGCCAACGCGUCUAACGGGUCGCCUCGCUCAACCUCUCCCGUGCUGUUCUCGAUAAGGCGCACUACGCAUUCCUCUUUCACGAUGCCCCCUUUCCACCUUUCCUUCCCCUCUUUCUGGAGGACUUUUCCCACCACUCUACCCCACACCUCCAUCCUUUGAGGCCUUGUUGCUCGAGGCGGCCGCGUCUUUCUUCACGCACGCGCACACGCACACACGUGCGUGUGCGCACAUCCGUCUCCGCUUAAUCUGAUAAAACACCCCGGCGCCCACGUUUUUCUCCUCCAUUCUCCGCAUGGAGAACCCGACAGAGACAGACGCAAGCCUGCGACGGACACACUAUGACCGAUAUCUCGAUCACGGGAGGUGCACUUCAACGACGUUCCUCGACGUGUGCAGGCACGUGCUGGAGUUUGUGCGAGAGUCGGGCAUGAGUGCCCUUCGUCUAUCGCCUAGUACCCCCUUCCCGUCCCACCCACCUACA
This 1248-nucleotide unclassified non-coding RNA is filed under the name Leishmania donovani. RNAcentral describes it as "gene:LdHU3.26.1140(CDS-product:hypothetical_prote in_conserved)". Lineage: Eukaryota; Euglenozoa; Kinetoplastea; Trypanosomatida; Trypanosomatidae. The record is from RNAcentral.